CUGGAGGUAUCAGAAGUGCGAAUGCUGACAUAAGUAACGAUAAAGCGGGUGAAAAGCCCGCUCGCCGGAAGACCAAGGGUUCCUGUCCAACGUUAAUCGGGGCAGGGUGAGUCGACCCCUAAGGCGAGGCCGAAAGGCGUAGUCGAUGGGAAACAGGUUAAUAUUCCUGUACUUGGUGUUACUGCGAAGGGGGGACGGAGAAGGCUAUGUUGGCCGGGCGACGGUUGUCCCGGUUUAAGCGUGUAGGCUGGUUUUCCAGGCAAAUCCGGAAAAUCAAGGCUGAGGCGUGAUGACGAGGCACUGCGGUGCUGAAGCAACAAAUGCCCUGCUUCCAGGAAAAGCCUCUAAGCAUCAGGUAACAUCAAAUCGUACCCCAAACCGACACAGGUGGUCAGGUAGAGAAUACCAAGGCGCUUGAGAGAACUCGGGUGAAGGAACUAGGCAAAAUGGUGCCGUAACUUCGGGAGAAGGCACGCUGAUAUGUAGGUGAAGUCCCUCGCGGAUGGAGCUGAAAUCAGUCGAAGAUACCAGCUGGCUGCAACUGUUUAUUAAAAACACAGCACUGUGCAAACACGAAAGUGGACGUAUACGGUGUGACGCCUGCCCGGUGCCGGAAGGUUAAUUGAUGGGGUUAGCGCAAGCGAAGCUCUUGAUCGAAGCCCCGGU
RNAcentral lists this ribosomal RNA (666 nucleotides) under Escherichia coli. RNAcentral's name for it is "partial 23S ribosomal RNA". It matches the Rfam family "Bacterial large subunit ribosomal RNA", at positions 1273 to 1924 of the family's 2925-position model. Lineage: Bacteria; Pseudomonadati; Pseudomonadota; Gammaproteobacteria; Enterobacterales; Enterobacteriaceae. The record is from RNAcentral.